CGGACGGGUGAGUAACGUGUGGGCAACCUGCCCUGCACUGGGGAAUAAUCAUUGGAAACGAUGACUAAUACCGCAUACGGUUCCUGGGAGGCAUCUUCCGGGAAAGGAAAGGAUUUAUUCGGUGCAGGAUGGGCCCGCAUCUGAUUAGCUAGUUGGUGAGAUAACGGCCCACCAAGGCGACGAUCAGUAGCCGACCUGAGAGGGUGACCGGCCACAUUGGGACUGAGACACGGCCCAAACUCCUACGGGAGGCAGCAG
RNAcentral lists this ribosomal RNA (258 nucleotides) under uncultured bacterium. RNAcentral's name for it is "partial 16S ribosomal RNA". It matches the Rfam family "Bacterial small subunit ribosomal RNA", at positions 99 to 354 of the family's 1533-position model. The record is from RNAcentral.